RNAcentral lists this microRNA precursor (156 nucleotides) under Cinara cedri. The record is from RNAcentral. Lineage: Eukaryota; Metazoa; Arthropoda; Insecta; Hemiptera; Aphididae.
UUCACCCUUAUUUUCGGCAGUAAAACCAUUACCAAUUUUUGAUUUUCAAAUGACAACCUAUACUAAAAGUUUCAUAAAUAGAUGGAAUAUUAAUUAAAAAUUGACAUUUGAAAAUCAAAAAUUGGUAAUGGUUUUACUGCCGAAAAUAAGGGUGAA